CGGCGAGUGAAGCGGCAACAGCUCAAAUUUGAAAUCUGGCCCCCAGGGUCCGAGUUGUAAUUUGCAGAGGAUGCUUUUGGCAAGGUGCCUUCCGAGUUCCCUGGAACGGGACGCCAUAGAGGGUGAGAGCCCCGUCUGGUUGGAUACCGAGCCUCUGUAAAGCUCCUUCGACGAGUCGAGUAGUUUGGGAAUGCUGCUCUAAAUGGGAGGUAUAUGUCUUCUAAAGCUAAAUAUUGGCCAGAGACCGAUAGCGCACAAGUAGAGUGAUCGAAAGAUGAAAAGCACUUUGAAAAGAGGGUUAAAUAGUACGUGAAAUUGUUGAAAGGGAAGCGCUCAUGACCAGACUUGGGCCCGGUGAAUCAUCCAGCGCUCGUCGCUGGUGCACUUUGCCGGGCUCAGGCCAGCAUCAGUUCGCUCCGGGGGACAAAGGCUCUGGGAAUGUGGCUCCUCCGGGAGUGUUAUAGCCCACUGCGCAAUACCCUGGGGCGGACUGAGGUUCGCGCAUUCGUGCAAGGAUGCUGGCGUAAUGGUCAUCAGUGACCCGUCUUGAAACACGGACCAAGGAGUCGU
This 570-nucleotide ribosomal RNA is filed under the name Metarhizium sp. RNAcentral's name for it is "partial large subunit ribosomal RNA". It matches the Rfam family "Eukaryotic large subunit ribosomal RNA", at positions 87 to 677 of the family's 3401-position model. The record is from RNAcentral. Lineage: Eukaryota; Fungi; Ascomycota; Sordariomycetes; Hypocreales; Clavicipitaceae.